GACGAACGCUGGCGGCGUGCUUAACACAUGCAAGUCGAACGGAAAGGCCCUGCUUUUGUGGGGUGCUCGAGUGGCGAACGGGUGAGUAACACGUGAGUAACCUGCCCUUGACUUUGGGAUAACUUCAGGAAACUGGGGCUAAUACCGGAUAGGAGCUCCUGCUGCAUGGUGGGGGUUGGAAAGUUUCGGCGGUUGGGGAUGGACUCGCGGCUUAUCAGCUUGUUGGUGGGGUAGUGGCUUACCAAGGCUUUGACGGGUAGCCGGCCUGAGAGGGUGACCGGCGGAAUGGGGACAUAGAUACGGCACGGACGCCGACGGGCGGCAGCAGGGGGGGAGCGGGCAAAAGGGGUUGAGGCCGUACGCCGCAAGGGCGGGGGAGGGAGGAAGGCUGGCGGGGGGGAAACAGGGGGCGCCGGCGAAGAAGGGGGAGGGAAGGGAAGGGGUAAAGAAAAAAGGGACAACCAACGG
Molecule: ribosomal RNA, 468 nt
Filed under: uncultured bacterium
Lineage: Bacteria
Description: partial 16S ribosomal RNA
Rfam family: Bacterial small subunit ribosomal RNA (bases 18-368)
Source: RNAcentral